GGGGAUCACUGGUCUGUAGGUUUA
Molecule: unclassified non-coding RNA, 24 nt
Filed under: Dictyostelium discoideum
Lineage: Eukaryota; Evosea; Eumycetozoa; Dictyosteliales; Dictyosteliaceae
Source: RNAcentral